Molecule: ribosomal RNA, 253 nt
Filed under: uncultured bacterium
Lineage: Bacteria
Description: partial 16S ribosomal RNA
Rfam family: Bacterial small subunit ribosomal RNA
Source: RNAcentral
UACGAAGGGGGCUAGCGUUGCUCGGAAUUACUGGGCGUAAAGGGCGCGUAGGCGGACAGUUUAGUCAGAGGUGAAAGCCCAGGGCUCAACCUUGGAAUUGCCUUUGAUACUGGCUGUCUUGAGUACGGGAGAGGUGAGUGGAACUCCGAGUGUAGAGGUGAAAUUCGUAGAUAUUCGGAAGAACACCAGUGGCGAAGGCGACUCACUGGACACGUAUUGACGCUGAGGUGCGAAAGCGUGGGGAGCAAACAGG